UACGUAGGGUGCAAGCGUUGUCCGGAAUUAUUGGGCGUAAAGAGCUCGUAGGCGGUUUGUCGCGUCUGCUGUGAAAACUCGGGGCUUAACUCCGGGCCUGCAGUGGGUACGGGCAGACUAGAGUGCGGUAGGGGAGACUGGAAUUCCUGGUGUAGCGGUGGAAUGCGCAGAUAUCAGGAGGAACACCAAUAGCGAAGGCAGCUCGCUGGGACGGUACUGACGCUAAGGCGCGAAA
This 235-nucleotide ribosomal RNA is filed under the name uncultured bacterium. RNAcentral describes it as "partial 16S ribosomal RNA". It matches the Rfam family "Bacterial small subunit ribosomal RNA", at positions 524 to 758 of the family's 1533-position model. The record is from RNAcentral.